Molecule: long non-coding RNA, 607 nt
Organism: Capra hircus (goat)
Lineage: Eukaryota; Metazoa; Chordata; Mammalia; Artiodactyla; Bovidae
Exons: 2
Source: RefSeq, a predicted model, not a curated record
CUCCGCUCUGUCGAAGGGGCGCGCCUCUGCCCGGCCACCUAUUGGCCGCCUGGUUAAUAAGCAUCCUGAGGCGCUGAUGAUUCCAGCCUAACCUGGAUCCUCGCGAGCCGGCGGAGACCCGAUGCUUGCCUGUGUGGGUGCGGAGGCGGGGAAGGCCAAUUGGACACCUGCUUUCUUCUCUUUCUUCCAGACCCAGAAUUCUUGGGAAGACUGCGCGCGUUGGAAGAGGGCCGGGAGGGGACGUGGUGGUGGCCAAGAGGAAAGGAACAGAGCUGACACCAGAAUCUAGACUGGAGAGUUUAGAAGAAAUUCGAAACUCCUCCGACUCCCGUCCCGCACCCCAUCUUGGCCCCUCCCUGCUACGUAGGGUGGGCGGGUUUUCUCAGCGUCCUCAGUCACAGCGCUCCUGGUGCAAAUGAAAACCCAGUCAGGUAGCAGGCAAGAUUCCUGCCCUCCCCCGCUGGGCCCCUCCUGUUUCCUCUCCACGCACCCUCUUCCCUUUCUCCCUCCUUUUUCUUUUUAGUUAUUUAUUUUAGAACCUUUUUUUUUUUUUUUGCUGAGUGUUUCUUUCUAGACUCUUGUUUGGCACCAAAAUAACUCAAACCAU